CAGUAGCGUAUAUUAAAGUUGUUGCAGUUAAAAAGCUCGUAGUUGGAUUUCUGGCAUAUUACGCCUGGUCCGCCCGCGACUAGCGGUGUGAGUACCGGUGCGCGGUUGCCAUCCUUCUAGAGAAUGGGUUUACCCUUCAUUGGGCCGGAUCCAGAAUCUAGAUCAUUUACUUUUGAAAAAAUUAGAGUGUUUAAAGCAGGCUUUUGCUAUGAAUACAUUAGCAUGGAAUAAUAAUAUAGGACUUUGGUCUUAUUUGUGGUUCAGGGACUGAAGUAAUGAUUGAUAGGGAUAGUUGGGGGUGCUAGUAUUCAGCGGCCAGAGGUGAAAUUCUUGGAUUCGCUGAAGACUAACUUAUGCGAAAGCAUUCACCAAGGAUGUCUUCUUUAAUCAAGAACGAAAGUUGGGGGAUCGAAGACGAUCAGAUACCA
RNAcentral lists this ribosomal RNA (428 nucleotides) under uncultured eukaryote. RNAcentral describes it as "bacterial SSU rRNA". It matches the Rfam family "Eukaryotic small subunit ribosomal RNA", at positions 592 to 1017 of the family's 1831-position model. The record is from RNAcentral.